RNAcentral lists this small nuclear RNA (22 nucleotides) under Arabidopsis thaliana (thale cress). RNAcentral describes it as "snRNA_17045". The record is from RNAcentral. Lineage: Eukaryota; Viridiplantae; Streptophyta; Magnoliopsida; Brassicales; Brassicaceae.
ACUCGGUUAAGUAGCCGUCCGG